UGCAAGUCGAGCGGAGUGAUGGUGCUUGCACUAUCACUUAGCGGCGGACGGGUGAGUAAUGCUUAGGAAUCUGCCUAUUAGUGGGGGACAACAUUUCGAAAGGAAUGCUAAUACCGCAUACGUCCUACGGGAGAAAGCAGGGGAUCUUCGGACCUUGCGCUAAUAGAUGAGCCUAAGUCGGAUUAGCUAGUUGGUGGGGUAAAGGCCUACCAAGGCGACGAUCUGUAGCGGGUCUGAGAGGAUGAUCCGCCACACUGGGACUGAGACACGGCCCAGACUCCUACGGGAGCAGCAGUGGGGAAUAUUGGACAAUGGGCGCAAGCCUGAUCCAGCCAUGCCGCGUGUGUGAAGAAGGCCUUAUGGUUGUAAAGCACUUUAAGCGAGGAGGAGGCUACUGAAGUUAAUACCUUCAGAUAGUGGACGUUACUCGCAGAAUAAGCACCGGCUAACUCUGUGCCAGCAGCCGCGGUAAUACAGAGGGUGCAAGCGUUAAUCGGAUUUACUGGGCGUAAAGCGCGCGUAGGCGGCUAAUUAAGUCAAAUGUGAAAUCCCCGAGCUUAACUUGGGAAUUGCAUUCGAUACUGGUUAGCUAGAGUGUGGGAGAGGAUGGUAGAAUUCCAGGUGUAGCGGUGAAAUGCGUAGAGAUCUGGAGGAAUACCGAUGGCGAAGGCAGCCAUCUGGCCUAACACUGACGCUGAGGUGCGAAAGCAUGGGGAGCAAACAGGAUUAGAUACCCUGGUAGUCCAUGCCGUAAACGAUGUCUACUAGCCGUUGGGGCCUUUGAGGCUUUAGUGGCGCAGCUAACGCGAUAAGUAGACCGCCUGGGGAGUACGGUCGCAAGACUAAAACUCAAAUGAAUUGACGGGGGCCCGCACAAGCGGUGGAGCAUGUGGUUUAAUUCGAUGCAACGCGAAGAACCUUACCUGGCCUUGACAUAGUAAGAACUUUCCAGAGAUGGAUUGGUGCCUUCGGGAACUUACAUACAGGUGCUGCAUGGCUGUCGUCAGCUCGUGUCGUGAGAUGUUGGGUUAAGUCCCGCAACGAGCGCAACCCUUUUUCUUAUUUGCCAGCGAGUAAUGGCGGGAACUUUAAGGAUACUGCCAGUGACAAACUGGGAGGAAGGGGGGGGACAACGUCAA
This 1139-nucleotide ribosomal RNA is filed under the name Acinetobacter calcoaceticus. RNAcentral's name for it is "bacterial SSU rRNA". It matches the Rfam family "Bacterial small subunit ribosomal RNA", at positions 56 to 1188 of the family's 1533-position model. The record is from RNAcentral. Lineage: Bacteria; Pseudomonadati; Pseudomonadota; Gammaproteobacteria; Moraxellales; Moraxellaceae.